ACUCCUACGGGAGGCAGCAGUGAGGAAUAUUGGUCAAUGGACGCAAGUCUGAACCAGCCAUGCCGCGUGCAGGAAGAAUGCCCUAUGGGUUGUAAACUGCUUUUUAUUUGGGAAGAAACCUCUUUACGUGUAGAGAGCUGACGGUACCAAACGAAUAAGCACCGGCUAACUCCGUGCCAGCAGCCGCGGUAAUACGGGAGGGUGCAAGCGUUAUCCGGAAUCAUUGGGUUUAAAGGGUCCGCAGGCGGGCUUAUAAGUCAGUGGUGAAAUCUCUCGGCUCAACCGAGAAACUGCCAUUGAUACUGUAGGUCUUGAAUUCGGUCGAAGUGGCGGAAUGAGUAGUGUAGCGGUGAAAUGCAUAGAUAUUACUCAGAACACCGAUAGCGAAGGCAGCUCACUAGGCCUGGAUUGACGCUGAGGGACGAAAGCGUGGGGAGCGAACAGGAUUAGAUACCCCUGGUAGGAUAGCG
RNAcentral lists this ribosomal RNA (470 nucleotides) under uncultured bacterium. Its description in RNAcentral is "bacterial SSU rRNA". It matches the Rfam family "Bacterial small subunit ribosomal RNA", at positions 335 to 799 of the family's 1533-position model. The record is from RNAcentral.